Molecule: non-coding RNA, 114 nt
Organism: Triticum aestivum (bread wheat)
Lineage: Eukaryota; Viridiplantae; Streptophyta; Magnoliopsida; Poales; Poaceae
Source: Rfam
UAAAUACUUCCUCCGUUCGGAAUUACUUGUUAUCAAAAUGGAUGUAUCUAGAACUAAAAUACAUCUAGAUACAUCUAUUUCAAUGACAAGUAUUUCUGAACGAGGGAGUAUGUU